RNAcentral lists this long non-coding RNA (565 nucleotides) under Mustela putorius furo (domestic ferret). Its description in RNAcentral is "lncRNA (ENSMPUG00000027469.1)". Lineage: Eukaryota; Metazoa; Chordata; Mammalia; Carnivora; Mustelidae. The record is from RNAcentral.
GCAUUGUCCUCACACACAGGGCCUCUUUGUUUCCCUGAUACACAGAGAGGAGGCUGUAACAAUGGCCUUGAAUGGCACUUUGCUCUCCUUUCUCCAAUGUUAUACUUGUGUUUUUCAGUUCUGGAAUCAGCUAGACAAUUAUUUCCUGCAGGAGGUAUCAGCUUUACAUCUUUCCUGUCUGCUUCUCUGGCAGUGCUCAGGCCCCGGGUCGGUGGGAACUGAUGGAGAGCUAGGCCUAAAGACAGCGGAGCCCAUCAGAAUGUUACCUUCUCAGGAGGCUGGAAUGCAGUGGCACCUCACCUCUCCCCUGCGAGAUGGCACCUGUCCUGGAGGAAGGAACCAGACCAGGUCCCAUCCUCUAUGAAGGGAGGCUUGGAAGCUUGAUUUACAGCAGAUCACUGCAAGUGAAGUAGUGCGUUUUAAAAAUAUCCCAGUGGCAACUAGGUAAUUUCCAUCUUGGGAUUGCUAGUCUGGAGAGCUGCCAUUUCACACUCCCCUGGGGUCUCUCAGGAAAGGCCCCUUUGGGAUGAUCUCCUCUUGGCAGCUUAUAGGACCGACUUUAUUA